UACGUAGGGGGCAAGCGUUGUCCGGAAUCAUUGGGCGUAAAGAGCGCGUAGGCGGCCCUGUAAGUCCGCUGUGAAAGUCAAGGGCUCAACCCUUGGAUGCCGGUGGAUACUGCAGGGCUUGAAUCCGGGAGAGGGAUGCGGAAUUCCAGGUGUAGCGGUGAAAUGCGUAGAUAUCUGGAGGAACACCGGUGGCGAAGGCGGCAUCCUGGACCGGCAUUGACGCUGAGGCGCGAAAGCUAGGGGAGCAAACGGG
This 253-nucleotide ribosomal RNA is filed under the name uncultured bacterium. RNAcentral describes it as "partial 16S ribosomal RNA". It matches the Rfam family "Bacterial small subunit ribosomal RNA", at positions 524 to 776 of the family's 1533-position model. The record is from RNAcentral.